AUAAUAGAAUCGUGCAACAAGGACUCGGUUGGCCUCUUGGAGGGAAAGGGAUCUUCAGAUGAUUACCUAGUGAUGAUCAAGUCAGUAACAAAAUUGUGUUCAUGGGUCAUGCAGACCAUGCCAGGGUAUGUCAAAUACUUCCAGGAGAAAAGUGUCGCCGAGAAAUUGGAAGAAGCCUGUAACACCCAGUGUUAAUGAUAACUUAAGUAUGACAUUAAGAAGAUAAUAGUGAAGUUGGAUUAAAGGAAGGUAAGUUGAGCCAAAGUCAAAUUUGAGCCGAAUUC
Molecule: long non-coding RNA, 284 nt
Filed under: Setaria viridis
Lineage: Eukaryota; Viridiplantae; Streptophyta; Magnoliopsida; Poales; Poaceae
Description: long non-coding RNA (SVIR_LNC005508)
Source: RNAcentral